RNAcentral lists this long non-coding RNA (3717 nucleotides) under Meleagris gallopavo (turkey). Its description in RNAcentral is "lncRNA (ENSMGAG00000021404.1)". The record is from RNAcentral. Lineage: Eukaryota; Metazoa; Chordata; Aves; Galliformes; Phasianidae.
GCGGGCGCGCGGCUCUUUGCUCGGCCUUUCUUUGGCGGAGCUUUUUCAAAGUUGGCGUUUUCCCGCUGCUCCGCGUGUUGCGAGCCAAAGGACGGGCGCCCGUCUGAGGACGAGUCCUGGCCGACUGGCUGGUGUGAGCGAGGAUGUGGUUGGUUUAGGGUACUUUGCUGCUGGUGCAAAGUAGUUGUGUCUCUUGUUUGACGAGUACUUGUUUCCUCUCUUUGGGAGAGUCGUGGUCACGGUAAGUUAUUUUGUAACGGUGUAAAAACAGCUGUGCACCAGAACAAUCUGGAACGCGUUAACCAGGAAUCACGGCUCCCUUGAAGUGCUCUGCAAUCUGCUGUACUCUUGAUAUGGAGAAAAGUUUUCUGUUUUCAGGGAGUGCCUUCGAUGGGGACCGGGUGACCAUAUCCACUAUGCAGUCCGGUUUAAUGUAAAGUUCUUCCUUUUGGUGUGUGUGACUGUGUCACUCCUUGCUGGUUAUUCACAGCUGUGCCAUCACUGCAUUUUGUUUCCAGCCCUGUAGAAGCCCCCGUGUCCUGCUUGUUCCCCUUUUAGUUUCUUCGUGUUGUUUUGUAAAGAUGUGAGUUUGGCUGAUGAAUCAGAGCAGCAUCUCCCCAUCCUGGCAUGGUCUUGGUGCGCACGGAUGCUGGACAACUUGUGAUGGUGCCUCAGCAGGCUCUAGCCCAGGCGCAGAUGCAGGCUCAAGUGCAGACACAGGGACAAGGUCCUACCAGCAUUUCACCUCGACUUUCAGUGCCCACAAGUGGCCCAGUUUUUCGCCUAACAACAGCUCAGAAAAAUCUACUUUGCAGGCUUUCUCAAGAGCCUUUUUGGGCUGUGAGUUCAUUGGAGGUCAGAAGGCUCAGUCUUAGACAGAAAUCAGUUUGGAAUUUGUGCCACUGACUUAGUAAAUGACUUUGUUCCCUCUCUGAGUCAUUGUGAUAUUCCAGCACGGUGAAUGGAUGUACAUGAUCACUAGAUUUCACUAGUAAUUAGAAAAGAAAAAGCAAAGCAUGUUCUAUGCCAGAAUUCACAGUAGUUAAAUUUUUGUAGUAUACUUUAUUUGGGAGAAAGAUUUGAUUCCUCUGGUUCACUUCUGUUUUAUUUUCAAGGAUGAAAGUGUGGAGUUUAUUUAUUUAUUUAUUUAAAAUUACUUUGUAAACUUUUUUUGUUUAAAAUUCUGUAAGGAUGCUGUUAGCUUCAAACUAUGUAUGACCUGUGCUUAACUAUCUUACUAGAAUGUAGAGGUAAGCAUCUUCAGAUGUAUAGGGCUGUUGUGCUAUGAUAAUUACAGGCAGAGUGAAAGGUAGCUUUGCCUAAGUUCACUGUUUAUAAAAGAGAUAACUCUGAAUGAAACCAGGUGAAAAAUAUGCCUUUAUAAUUUCUGAUUGAUUGUUGGUUGGUUGAAAUAUCUUAAAUAUGUAUAUUAAUAUUUGAUUGCUGUCACAUUAUAUGCUUUGUGUUUUACAUCAUGUUUGUAGUUUAAGAGAUUGUUUAGUUAAAAAGUAAAAGCAAUGGUAAAUUUUUCAGAAGAGAAGGAAGCCAGAAUAGAAUUGCAUAAUUGAAAAUGAGGUAAUCUAAACCGUAGAGUAGCCAAGUAAAAUGCAAGUUUUAGAUGUGAAUGUAAUAGGAAUAUUGUGUAGCUCAACAGAAUGUAUCUCAAGAAGAGAUAAAAGCCUGGAAACGUUUGAAAAACUUUAUGCUGUCAGAAAAAAGGGUAAGUGCAGUAUUAGAUGGAAUAUUCUAAAAGAACUCUGCGGGAAGGGCAGCUGGUUAAUAUCUAAAUUUGUGUGAUCUGAAAGGAUGAGAAGAUUUGUAAAAAUCCUUCAGAGAUAAAUAUGAGAUGUCAGGAAAAUAAACACAGUGACAGCUUAUAUUGAUUUUCAAGUGUUUUUUUUUACUGAUUUGACACAAAGAAAAAUCUGGAUAAUGUUCAUUAUUUAGUUUGUAUGUCUGUUAUUGGUUGUUUGCUUUCUUGCUUUGUUUGUUUGCUUUUAAAAUAAAUGCAUUACUUCUUUAUUAUUGACUACAACAGAAUAUACAGUGCAUACUCUAGCAACGGAUUCUGAGAUGAGUGUAUAGCAUAAAUGCAUAACAGAUCAUGGGAUGGGACUGCACCAAGAAUAUGACCUCAGUCUGUUAAAAUGAAUUAGGUUUAGUUGGUUUGGUUUCAUACUGUAAGUUUUCGUGCAACUUUAAUUGCUGUGGGUAGCAUUCAGAAUUAAAAUUCAGAGUGGAAACAUCCAUAGGAAAUUACACAUUAACAAAUAGUUUGUUAUUUGAGAACAUAUGAGGAGUACAUCUUUAUUGUACGUAGAAUCUUAUGACAAAAAUGCAGUUCUGCUUGGCUGCAUGUGUUCAAUCUUUAUUAGAAGAUUGGAAUUUGUAUGUGUGCACAACAGAUGCUGGGAGUUGAUCAUAUUGGCCUCAGGCAGGUGUUCUCCAGUUAUAUGAAGCUGUUAAGAUUGUGGAAAUAGUGUAAUCUGACGUGCUGGGUUUUUGUAAAAAUUAAGCUCUGAGGAUACUGCAUGUUCGUGUGUGGUAGAGAUGCUAAAAAUAUGAGGGAGCUAGUUCUAGUAUUAGGAUGAUGUAGUUGUUUUUCUGCAGGAUUCUGAGUAGCUAGAUAGCCUGCAGAGCAUUAAAGGUAUUUCUUUAUACUUAUUUGUGUUAAUUAACAGAUUGAGAAUAGAGACGAACGGUGCCUUAGGAAUGGUAAGUGUCUUACAGCAUGCAAUAGUUCAGGUAUUUUUAAGGUGGUGGGAUUUGAAUCAUGGUAUUGUAGCCAGUCAGGAUUCAUCUGCUUUGAGAGACCUUUGUAGUCACUGCCCAGGCAGUACUGCGUUUCUUUAAUUGCUGUCAUUAAGAAAGACAAGAAAUAUUUAACAAUGUCCCUCAAAAAUACACAUUUUUGUACAAUAAUGACUCUGUGGUAUGUCGACUCUUUGAUUUUUACAGUGCUUAUUGUAUAUAUGUUUGACAUUGAAAUGUAAUUUGAAGAUAAUGACUUGAGGCAUUUUAAAGCCACACUGUAAAAAUCUAAAUUCUAAAGGUUUUAUCAUAUCAGAACUAGAUAUUAGACUUUCAUUUGGUCAGGUGGAAGUUUAUAACUAGAAGUUUUUGGAGGCAAUGUCCAGUGAUAAAUACUAUGCUGAGUUUUUGGAAGUGUCACUUAUUUGAGGAGUCAUUCUGGUUAGCCAAGAAAAAGGAUGAAGCGCUAAAAUGCAGAGAGGUGUAUGUACUGAAAAAGAAUUCAUCCAGUGAGUUAGUGCUCAAAGUAUUUUCUAGGAUAUCAGAUCUUACUACAAAGAACGUGUUAGUCAAUGUCUACUUCAUAGCUCCUCUAUUUGCUUUUCUUUAGUUUGUACUGAUUUCUAGCCAGCGUCAAAUACCAGCUCAGUAAUUGUUUUCAGUGUUACUGAUGUAAUUUCUAUGUGCACUUUAAAAAAUUAUGUUAAAAAGUAUGUUAUGAGCUACGUAGUUAGAUGUAAAAUAAGGGUUAUUAAAUUAUAUCACAAAGAAAUUGUAAAAUCUGGUAGUUAGCUUUGGCAACUCAGUGAGUGCUGAGAGUGAGAGCAGCAGAAUAUAAAAGGAACAACUUUAAAAAUAACAAGAAAGGUAGUUUGCAAAACUAACAGAGUGUGCCUCUAAAAAUUGGAAGCUCUGUGAAUCUCUUUUCUCUCUCUCUCUCUCUCUCUCCUCUAACAAAAAAAAAAA